ACCUUUUGGAAACUUAAGGGUCAGUUCGGCUGGAUCGGUGACAGGUGCUGCAUGGCUGUCGUCAGCUCGUGUCGUGAGAUGUUGGGUUAAGUCCCGCAACGAGCGCAACCCUCGUCCUUAGUUGCCAGCAUUAAGUUGGGCACUCUAAGGAGACUGGCCGGUGUUAAACCGGAGGAAGGCGGGGAUGACGUCAACGUCCUCAUGGGCCCUUAUGUCCAGGGCUACACACGUGCUACAAUGGCCGGUACAAAGGGUAGCAAGACCGCGAGGUAGGACGCCAACCCCAAAAAGCCGGUCUCAGUUCGGAUUGGAGUCUGCAACUCGACUCCAUGAAGUUGGAAUCGCUAGUAAUCGUGGAUCAGCAUGCCACGGUGAAUACGUUCCCGGGCCUU
RNAcentral lists this ribosomal RNA (392 nucleotides) under uncultured Desulfuromonas sp. RNAcentral's name for it is "bacterial SSU rRNA". It matches the Rfam family "Bacterial small subunit ribosomal RNA", at positions 995 to 1382 of the family's 1533-position model. Lineage: Bacteria; Pseudomonadati; Thermodesulfobacteriota; Desulfuromonadia; Desulfuromonadales; Desulfuromonadaceae. The record is from RNAcentral.